GAUGAACGCUGGCGGCGUGCCUAACACAUGCAAGUCGAGCGUGAUUGAUAUGAGUGGAGACUUCGGUUGAAGCGAGUAACAUGAAAGCGGCGGACGGGUGAGUAACGCGUGGGCAACCUGCCCCAUACACGGGAAUAGCCACUGGAAACGGUGAUUAAUGCCCGAUAAGACCACAGUACCCCAUGGUACAGCGGCCAAAGAUUUAUCGGUAUGGGAUGGGCCCGCGUCUGAUUAGCUAGUUGGUGAGGUAACGGCUCACCAAGGCGACGAUCAGUAACCGACCUGAGAGGGCGGACGGUCACACUGGAACUGAGACACGGUCCAGACUCCUACGGGAGGCAGCAGUGGGGAAUAUUGCACAAUGGGCGCAAGCCUGAUGCAGCAACGCCGCGUGAGUGAAGAAGGCCUUCGGGUCGUAAAGCUCUGUCCUGUGGGACGAAACAAAUGACGGUACCACAGGAGGAAGCCCCGGCUAACUACGUGCCAGCCGCCGCGGUAA
RNAcentral lists this ribosomal RNA (499 nucleotides) under uncultured bacterium. Its description in RNAcentral is "partial 16S ribosomal RNA". It matches the Rfam family "Bacterial small subunit ribosomal RNA", at positions 28 to 523 of the family's 1533-position model. The record is from RNAcentral.